GGCUUCUCUGGUGGGGAGAGGGUCCAGAAAGUCUUAAAUAACUUUUUUUUAAGAAAAAUAAAAUAUAACCCCACCACAAAACAGACAAGAACAGCAGAGAAAUUUGUGUCCACCGUCUUCAAGACUUAGGAAAUGAGCAUCAUCAAAGAACAAACAAAAAAGUCCACAGCUCAAGUGUCAACAAGAGGUUCUGCAGCUGAGGAUGGCAGUAGAUGGGGGCUGGCUGGCAGGUGUAGCCCACAGAAGUGUUACUGUGCAGCUUUAACAUCAACACCAUGACAGCAGCGCCAGAGGUGGCAGACAGAUAACAAAGACAUUAAUUACAUCAGCCAUGCCAGGUGGGCUCCCUCUACAGAAACUCAGAAAGUGGAGAUAAGAGCCAUAAGCUCCUCCUGAGGUUCAGAGUGAGAGGAAACCAACACCCCUACCACCCUCACAUGCCCUCAGACAAUCUGGCAAAACAGCAGGCUGUCCAUCAUCCAAGGAGGAAAACUGGUCCCGAUGUGCUCAGGGCCAUAAAAGAGUGGGGUUGAUGCCAGCUAUAAAAUGACAUGAGGCAGCUUAAGGGCCUACGCAGGUGAUCACAGCUAGAAAGUAUAGGUUUUCAUGAAACAUCCUGAAAAGUCCAAAUUCCUGAUUCUGGAAUCCACAGCGCUCUGAUGAAUUCCAGCCUCAUUUCUCAGCUGCCUCCUUCCCUAAACUCACUAGUCUCUUUUAGCUCCCAGGGUCCUCUGUCUGUAUGAUAGGCAUUAUCAGAUUGUAUCACAUUGCUUACCUGCUGAAUUUACACACCUGCCUGGAAGAUCCUUAAAGGUAGAAACUAUAUCUCAUUUAUUUUUUAAAUUUGGCACAUGGUAGGACAAAUAGAGCUUCCCUAUUCUGGCCCAUGGAGUAAGUUCUCGAAACUUUUUUGUUGUUGAAGGAAGGAAAGAGGAAGGAAGGAAGGGAGGGAGGAAGAAGGGAGGGAAGCAAGGAAAGAAGAGAUUCCAGUCAUUCUUCGUAGGUAAUAGGCCACUCCAGCAAGAAGCAUGGCUGUUGGGGUGGACACCAUUCACCAGGAUCCUCAGUUGACAGACGUAAAGCAAAUCUUUGCUCAUACAGCCUUCAGCUGCACAAGGGACCAUUAACUGUCUCUCUUUCUGUUCCCUGUCAAUCACUCCCCUAGGUGCACCCAUGCCUUUC
Molecule: long non-coding RNA, 1182 nt
Filed under: Sus scrofa (pig)
Lineage: Eukaryota; Metazoa; Chordata; Mammalia; Artiodactyla; Suidae
Description: lncRNA (ENSSSCG00045015506.1)
Source: RNAcentral